RNAcentral lists this ribosomal RNA (254 nucleotides) under uncultured bacterium. Its description in RNAcentral is "partial 16S ribosomal RNA". It matches the Rfam family "Bacterial small subunit ribosomal RNA", at positions 524 to 776 of the family's 1533-position model. The record is from RNAcentral.
UACGGGGGGAGCAAGCGUUGUUCGGAUUUACUGGGCGUAAAGGGCGCGUAGGCGGUCAGCACAAGUCAGUUGUGAAAUCUCCGGGCUUAACUCGGAAAGGUCAACUGAUACUGUGCGACUAGAGUGCAGAAGGGGCAACUGGAAUUCUCGGUGUAGCGGUGAAAUGCGUAGAUAUCGAGAGGAACACCUGCGGCGAAGGCGGGUUGCUGGGCUGACACUGACGCUGAUGCGGGAAAGCCAGGGGAGCGAACGGG